This is a non-coding RNA of Cajanus cajan (pigeon pea), 6697 nucleotides long. The record is from RefSeq and is a predicted model, not a curated record. Lineage: Eukaryota; Viridiplantae; Streptophyta; Magnoliopsida; Fabales; Fabaceae.
CACUUAAAGCUCACACAAAACUUCAAAAGAACUAACAUAAGGUUCCUAAUAAUCAACAAAUAUAAACGAGUUAUACCAUAAAUAUCAAAAGAAAACAUGUAACAUAAAUCAUAAAUUUUAAAUCUUUCCAUCUCAUAUCCUACAUCAAAGCAUAUUUUAAAAAUAGUCAAGGCAUCAUGCCUAAUCACCUACAUCAUCAUAAUCUUAAGUUACAAAAUACAAAAAAAAAAAACUCAAAAUGAGAAAGUGAGAUGCACAUCUUACUUUCAUUUCUAGUAUGAGAUAAGCUAGACUGAGUAAUCACACACAUAAACAAGUAUUAAGAUAUAUAAUAUCAAUUAUAUAAUUAUAACCAUAAUAGUUUAAAUAGUAACUCAAUCACAUAUCAAGCAUAUUUAUUCACUUUAACAAGUCAUACAAUAUAUACACAUGAUAUUAAGAAUAUAAGCAACACAACAUUCACGUGCAAUUGUCUAAAGACCAAUUAAUAGAGGAUUGCUAGAGAAAACGAUUCUACACUAGGUUAUUGCUAAGAAAGUUUCUCAUUCCAUGCUUGAUGAAUUCCAAUACAGCCACUGUAAAAAGAAAGACCUAAUGAUUUGGGUGUCUACACGUGUAGAGCACCGAUUUAGGGAAAACAACAAUGUAACUGAAUUCAAACUGCUGGCUCAACACCUGGCCUAUUUAAAAGCCCAAUUCUCUAAGUUAUAUAAUCUUUGAAUUUUAAUGGGCUUCUUGUUGUACGCUUGGGCCUUUCAACUUUAUCAAUACCAGCCUGGUCACAUUGGACAUUUUCCUCAAUGUCAUUGGCCAUGUUGGAGCCGCCACGAAUCCUUGCUGAGGUGGACGCACGAGAUGCGAGUGUGUUUUUGCUGAAUAGUUGUGAUGAAACAGUGGUAAGUGGGGCGUGUGCAUUAACUUCUAAAGUAAUGGAAGGGCCACGUGUUUGGUCACACGAGGUGACACCCACUUCCCUAAACCCAGUUUGCACGCGAUUAAAGUCAUUAGAUGGAGGCCCUUCAUCUAGCUCAGUCGGGGGCGACAGAAAGGACGAAGAGGUUUCAGUGGAGGCGUCAAUCCUUUGCUACGGAAGAGCCCGAAAGUGGCGGAUAGGGUCUUCGCCUUUGUAAAGGCACAAAAACGAUACAUGGAACACGAGGUGAAUGGGGGCGGUGUCCGGCAAGAUGAGUUCAUAAGCAAUUGAACCAAUGCGCCGACGAACUUGGAAGGGCCUAUAAUACCGCUUGGCAAGCUUUUGAGACGUGCGACGUAACAAGGAAGUCUAUCGGUACGGCUGAAGCUUCAAAAGAACCUAAUCACUAGGUUGAAAGGAGAAGGAGAACAGAGGUGGAAGACGAAUCGCGUAAUGCAUCUGUCGGGUUUGGAGGCGCGCGCCCAUACAAAGCAUGAAAGGGAGAUGUGCCGAUGCUGGUGUGGAAGGAGGUAUUAUGCCAAUAUUUCGUGAGGUGAAGAUACUGGUACCAAGCGCGAGGGUGAUCACUAACGAAACAACGAAGGUAAGCUUCCAAACAUCUGUUCAAGACUUCUGAUUGCCUGUCGGACUGAGGGUGAUAGGCAGAGUUAAAGGCCAAGGUUGUGCCUUGGGCGCGAAAAAGUUCACGCCAAAUAGAACUCACGAACAAGGGAUCCCUGCCCGAAACAAUGGAUUUUGGAAAGCCAUGGAGUUUGAAAAUUUCAAUCAUGAAACGUCGAGCGAGCUGCGAUGCUGUGAAGUGGGCAGGAAGGGCAAUGAAAUGGGAAAACUUGGUUAAACGAUCACAAACAACCCAUAUUGUGGAAUGACCAAACGAUUUUGGAAGGGCACUCACGGAUGAACUUGUGAGCAUCAGAACAAAGACCUGGCCAAUAAAAAGCAGCAGCAAGACGACAAACUGUAGGUUUCAAACCCGAAUGGUCGGCAACCGGGGUACAAUGAAACUCCUUGAGCAGUUGGAGGUGGAAAUCAUCAAUAUCUGGGACAAACAGUCGUUCCUUGAAAUACAAUAGCUCAUUAUGAAGGGUAAACGAAUCUUGCCCGUUAUCUUGUUGAAGUAUUUAUUAACUAAUUCCUGACCCGUUGUCUUAAAAUAUUGCUGCCAAGGGUGAAGGAACAGAGGAACAGGUGAAGAAAUAUAGAGCAAGAUCGAAGGGUGUGGUUCUAGGCGAGAUAAAGUAUCAGCCACAAGAUUCUGACUGUCAGGCCUGUAGAGAAUGUCAAAAUUGGUAGCCCAAGAAUUUAAUGACCCAUUUCUGCUGCUCGGGAGUGUGGACUGCUUGGCCAACAUUUCGCGGAUGUAGACAAGGGCAGCUUGGAGCUUAGGGAAAAGGUGCUUGCUAAAGAAAGCAAUAAGAUGACCAUGCUGGGACAAAACAACUCCGAUUGCAGUGCCAGAAGCAUCGGUCUUGAUGACAAAAAGAGAGUUGAAGUCUGGAAGAGCCAGAACUGAAACAAAUGUAAUUUUAUUUUUGAGCUCAGUAAAAGCUUGUUGUGCUUGUAAAGGCCAUUGAAAAGUAGUGGAACGCAAUAAAUCGGUGAGGGGAGUGGCAAUCGCUACAUAGUUUCGGACAAAUUUUCUAUAAAAACCAGUUAGGCCUAAGAACCUGCGUAGAGCCGUGAGUGAACGUGGAGGAGGCCAAGCUACGAUAGCUUGAAUCUUCUCUGGGUCAGGUUGAACCCCUUGGCCUGAAAUAAUAUGACCCAAAUAGGUCACCGAAGGCAUGGCAAACACACACUUUAAAAAUUUAGCAUAAAAUUGGUUAGACAAUAGGAGCUGAAGAAUAGAAUCCAGGUGUGACAAGUGAUCUUGGAAUGAAUUACUAUAGACCAGAAUAUCAUCAAAAAUACCAGCAUAAAUUUUCGUAAAAACGGUCUUAGUAAUUCAUUCAUGGUAGCUUGAAACGUAGAGGGAGCAUUAGAGAGGCCGAAAGGCAUCACUAAAAACUUGUAAUGACCAUCAAGGGUGCGGAAAGCAGUUUUAAAACUAUCAAAAGAAUUUACUUUGAUUUGGUGAUAACCAGAACGAAGAUCAAUCUUAGAAAAAACUUGAGCUGAACCAAGUUCAUCUAGCAAUUCUUCAAUGGUGGGUAUAGGGAAACGAUCACAUAUGGUAAUGGCAUUAAGAGCGCGGUAAUCAACACAGAAACGCCAAGUAUUGUCCUUCUUUUUAACUAAUAAAACUGGUGAGGAAAAGGGACUAGUACUAGGCUUAAUAAUUCCAUCAGCUAACAUUUCCGUAAUAAGGUUGGUCAUAAUGGUCUUUUGGGAAUGAGGGUAGCGAUAAGGUUUGAUAUUAACAGGGGUGGAAUUGGGUAAAAGUGAAAUGUGAUGGUUCUAAGGACGAUUUGGGGGUAAGCUUUUAGGUAUUUGAAAGACAGCUUGGUAAGUGGUUAAGAGAGUUUUAAUCUCAGGAGGAGAAGAGGUAGGAAUGGAUUCUAAGAAGGGUAAACGUAUGGGAAACUUGCAGUAAAUGUAGGGAUGCUACCAAAUCUUGGUGGAUAUAAUGGCAUAAUUGGUGAAAGGAUGACAUGGUAGGGGAAAUAGAGUCACCAGUGAUAGUCACAGUCGUGUCGUGAUGGCUAAAGGUGAGGGUUGGCACAGAAAAGUCAGCUUGAAUUGGGCCCAAAGUGCGAAGCCAAGUAAUCCCAAGAACAACAUCAGCUCCCUCAAUAGGAAUCACGUACAAGGGAACUUGAACCACGGCCUGUUGAAUAGUAAGAGGAACACUAGAGCACAAUUUAUCGCAUAGAAUAAAUUCACCAUUGCCCACCAUAACUUUGAACGGAGAAGUGGGACUCAUAUCCAAUUGUAAAUGGUGAGCCAAACGUGGUUGGAUAAUAUUGUGAGCGCUUCCUGAAUCAAUUAAGAUCAUUACCGUACAACCAUUAAUAGUGCCUUUAAACCGCAACGUUUGAGGGGAAGGAACACUUGUGAGAGCCUGAUGGGAUAGCUGAAAAUGAAUAGCAAGGUUAGGUUCAUAAUCGUCCAAAGUAGGUUCAGCCAAUAAAUCACUUGAAUCAGGACCAACAUCGUCAUUACAAAGUAACAACAAAAAUUUUAGGGUUGCAAACUUAUGUCCCAGAUGAAAUUUCUCAUCACAAUUGUAGCAAAGCCCAGCAACUCGUCGUUCUUGUAGUUGUUGAGAAGAAAGACAUUUAAUGGGAAAGGAUGGGGAGUCGGGUGGCACAGAAGGUUUGGCAACAGAAUUGGCCGAUUUAAUAGUGGAGGAUGUAUGGUUAGGAAAAGAGGAGGAGGAACGGUUAAACUUGGGUUUGGCGUCUUUGAAUUUGGCCUCAAUUAAUUUAGCAAGCCCAAUGGCUUGAGAAAUUGUCUGGGGUUGAAACAUAGCCAUUUCAUUUUGAAUAUAUCUGUAUGUAACCCAGAAAUAAAACAAUUCUUAAGAAUUUUCGGUGGAAUACCAAAAACACGAUUGCUCAAUUUUUCAAAAGUAGCCUGAAAAUCAGCAACGGAACUGGUUUGGCGUAAUUUCAAUAAUUCACCCUGGUGGUUCUCGUAAGAUGAAGGCCCAAAACGAAUUUUCAUGGUUCGUGCAAAAGAAGGCCAAUCACCUAAUUGAUUUGUGAAACAUCCAUUUAAACCAACUCAAAGCAUCACCCUGCAUAUAAAAAGCUGUAAUAGGAACCCUGUAAUCCCAAGGCACUUGAUAAAACAAAAUAUUGAUCAUGCUGAAAUAACCAAUCCAAAGGGGCAGAGCCAUCAAACGGUAGGAGGUUCAAUUUGGGGGGUCGAAUAUGGGAGUGAGGAAAUGGUGGUGAAAGUUGGACUGGUGGAGUAAAGGUUGAGGAAUUGGGUGGUAUUAAAGGAGGGAUAAAUGGUAGGGAUUCUGUGAUGGUAAUAGGUUUGGUGAAAAGAGGAAGGGGUCUCGGGUAGGAAGGGUCGCAAAAAGUAAUUGAUGGGAAAGGGUGAGAUGGAAAGGAAGUAGAUGGCACAUGGGAACUAAAGGUACUGUCAACCGAGGGAAAGGAAGAAGAAAUAGAGGCCCCAGAGGUGGACGAACCUGGAUUCCCAAAAUGAGUACGAAGGGUGGCCAUGAUGGUGGAUAAGGAUUCUUGGUUCUGGGUAAUCGCAGCUUGCAUGGUAGAAUAUUGGGACUCAAAGGUGGCAACCUGGGAUUCAAAUUGGGUCUAGAGAUCGUGAAAUUUGGUGGAAAGGUGUUGAAUGGGGUCAUCUUCUUUAGAAGAACGGGGAGGCAUGAGGAGAAUGAAAGCACCAAAUAAUAGAGGAUUGCUAGAGAAAACGAUUCUACACUAGGUUAUUGCUAAGAAAGUUGCUCAUUGCAUGCUUGAUGAAUUCCAAUACAGCCACUAUAAAAAGAAAGACCUAAUGAUUUAGGUGCCUACACAUAUAGAACACCGAUUUAGGGAAAACAAAAAUGUAACUGAAUUCAAAUUGCUGGCUCAACACCUGGCCUAUUUAAAAGCCCAAUUCUCUAAGUUAUAUAAUCUUUGAAUUUUAAUGGGCUUCUUGUUGUACGCUUGGGCCUUUCAACUCUAUCACCAAUGCUCAUAUAUAGUUGCCCAAAGACUGUAACAUCCUAAUUUUUUAAAAACAAAUAUCAUUAAAUAAUGAGUAAUUUUGUAAUUAAAUAUUAUUAUAUUAUAUUCAUAAUUAUUAUUUGGAAUUAAAUGUGAAGAAUUAUUUUAUUAAAUAAAGUAAUAAGGUAGUUUUAUUAAAUUAAAUUUAUUUAUUUAAUUUAAUGGGAGAAGGGAAACAGGUCAAGUUGACCUGGUUCAAUGAGCCUUUAAGAAAGGGGUUAGACAAAAUUUACCCUAAUUUGCCUCAUUUUACAUUCUGGAAGAACUGAGAGAGAAGAAAGAGAAGGAAGAAGCUCUGAGAAAAAGUGCUCAGAUCAUCUAAAAAUUAAUUACAUCAAAUUGCUUGAGAUCAUCACAAUAAGGUACAGGGGAGGGAAAUGAGUCCAUUCAUAUGUGGGAUUUCAAGAUGAGAUGGGUAGUGGGAGCAAUCCUAAAUUCCUAAGAUUUUCCAUUUUCUGUUCUAACAUUGCAAUUGACGAUUCAAUUAGGUUUUAUAUUGAUUUAUAAAUGUGUUUGUUGUAUUAUUUGGUAAAAUUGAUGAUAUGGAUGAUAAUUGAAUUCAUUAGGAUGUCUCUAUGGAUUAGGAUUCUUGAGUAAUUUGAUUAUUGUUAAUUAGUAUGUAAAUUCAUGAAUUAAAGUUAUAUAAUGUGUUUUUGGGUAAAAAAAUAAGUGUUUCUAACCGAUUAGAUUGGUAAAAAGAUGAUUAUAUGAUUACUUAUGAAUUUUGGUGAUGUUUUGUUCAUGCUGCGUUUCUGGAAAACACGUUGGGCGUCGGGCUUGAGUUUUUGGCCUCGAGCUUGCAUUCAUACUGAUGAGUGUGAAACCCAAAUGAGGUCAAGCUAGGCAUGGGAUGCAUCACGCCGAGCGUGACAAAGUUGGUAAAGUUAUAAGUGAUGAGGGUAGCACUCAAGGUGUCGAGAGCUGAAGUGACGGGUUUGCUCUAAUAAUGUGACAUCGGGGUAAUGUGAUUAAAAUAGGAUUUUAUCUUUUCAUGUUAAUUACCAUUUCAUUUCGUAUUUAAACACUAUUGAAAACCUUAUGUGUUAUAAUAUUUUUAUUUGGUUGGAUGUUCAGAGGUGGAUUACAUGUGAACCUAUUUUACCUGAGUUGUAAAUGAAUUUCUUCCUUAUUUAAUUAUUUUAUA